This is a non-coding RNA of Pelobates cultripes (western spadefoot toad), 274 nucleotides long. NCBI's taxonomy places the organism in Eukaryota, Metazoa, Chordata, Amphibia, Anura, Pelobatidae. The record is from the annotation of a GenBank genome assembly.
UAUGAAGUCCAUUUUUCUUUCUUGGGAUUUGCCACUUGUCCUGUUGGCCUUUCAGGCUUUCCCAUUUGAACCUAUAACAGAGAAUACAGCUAUGGUCCUUACUCUUAAGAUAUAUCUGAAGGGUUGCCUUGACAUCAGGAAGAAGGGUCUGGCAGUUCUCUCAUCAGACAAACCUUUCAUCUUGUUCCAACAGGAUAAGGUGAUUAUGAGAGCAGUUCCAGAGUUCAGGCCUAAAGUGGGUUCAUCAUUUCAUAUGGACCAAGAGAUCAGCUUG